AACGCGAAGAACCUUACCGGGGCUUGACAUCUGCGGAAAUCCUACGAAAGUAGGCUUCGGAGCAAUCCGACCGCAAGACAGGUGCUGCAUGGCUGUCGUCAGCUCGUGCCGUGAGGUGUUGGGUUAAGUCCCGCAACGAGCGCAACCCUUGUCGUGUGUUGGUCCAAAAGACCUCUCACACGAGACCGCCGGUGAUAAGCCGGAGGAAGGUGGGGAUGACGUCAAGUCAGCAUGGCCCUUACGUCCCGGGCUACACACGUGCUACAAUGGGCGCGACAACGAGCUGCGAAGCCGCAAGGCCAAGCCAAUCUCUUAAACGCGUCCUCAGUUCGGAUUGAAGGCUGCAACUCGCCUUCAUGAAGUCGGAAUCGCUAGUAACCGCAGAUCAGCUACGCUGCGGUGAAUACGUUCCCGGGCCUUGUACACACCGUGUCGA
This 436-nucleotide ribosomal RNA is filed under the name uncultured bacterium. Its description in RNAcentral is "bacterial SSU rRNA". It matches the Rfam family "Bacterial small subunit ribosomal RNA", at positions 958 to 1400 of the family's 1533-position model. The record is from RNAcentral.